Molecule: ribosomal RNA, 254 nt
Filed under: uncultured bacterium
Lineage: Bacteria
Description: partial 16S ribosomal RNA
Rfam family: Bacterial small subunit ribosomal RNA
Source: RNAcentral
UACGGGGGGAGCAAGCGUUGUUCGGAUUUACUGGGCGUAAAGGGCGCGUAGGCGGCCACCGCAAGUCGACUGUGAAAUCUCUGGGCUUAACCCAGAACGGUCAGCCGAUACUGCGGGGCUAGAGUGCAGAAGGGGCAACUGGAAUUCCCGGUGUAGCGGUGAAAUGUGUAGAGAUCGGGAGGAACACCGGUGGCGAAGGCGGGUCUCUGGGCAUUCCCUGACGCUGAGGCGCGAAAGCGUGGGGAGCAAACGGG